CGUGAGUGCUUUCUCUCCGUCCCGAAAAAAAGACAAACCCUGUUUUAUAUGAAAUUUUUUUAUAAUUCGUAUUUUCAUUGUUGUUAGAUAAUAAAACAUGAUUAAUAUUUUAUGUGUGACUUGUCUUUUUAAUUUUUUCAUAAUUUUUUUAAAUAAGACGGACGGUCUACACGGAAACCAGAGUUUGUCUUUUUU
Molecule: microRNA precursor, 195 nt
Filed under: Oryza glumipatula
Lineage: Eukaryota; Viridiplantae; Streptophyta; Magnoliopsida; Poales; Poaceae
Description: MIR812 microRNA precursor family
Rfam family: MIR812 microRNA precursor family
Source: Rfam by way of RNAcentral